RNAcentral lists this ribosomal RNA (279 nucleotides) under uncultured Staphylococcus sp. Its description in RNAcentral is "partial 16S ribosomal RNA". It matches the Rfam family "Bacterial small subunit ribosomal RNA", at positions 81 to 354 of the family's 1533-position model. The record is from RNAcentral. Lineage: Bacteria; Bacillati; Bacillota; Bacilli; Caryophanales; Staphylococcaceae.
CUCCUUUGACGUUAGCGGCGGACGGGUGAGUAACACGUGGGUAACCUACCUAUAAGACUGGGAUAACUUCGGGAAACCGGAGCUAAUACCGGAUAAUAUUUCGAACCGCAUGGUUCGAUAGUGAAAGGUGGUUUUGCUAUCACUUAUAGAUGGACCCGCGCCGUAUUAGCUAGUUGGUAAGGUAACGGCUUACCAAGGCGACGAUACGUAGCCGACCUGAGAGGGUGAUCGGCCACACUGGAACUGAGACACGGUCCAGACUCCUACGAGGCAGCAGGU